This 69-nucleotide transfer RNA is filed under the name Ictidomys tridecemlineatus (thirteen-lined ground squirrel). Its description in RNAcentral is "Spermophilus tridecemlineatus (thirteen-lined ground squirrel) tRNA". It matches the Rfam family "tRNA". From Rfam's summary of the family: Transfer RNA (tRNA) molecules are approximately 80 nucleotides in length. Their secondary structure includes four short double-helical elements and three loops (D, anti-codon, and T loops). The record is from Rfam by way of RNAcentral. Lineage: Eukaryota; Metazoa; Chordata; Mammalia; Rodentia; Sciuridae.
UGGAGUGUAGCUCAAUGGUAGAGCAUGUAUUUAGCAUGCACAAGGCCUGGGUUCUAUCCCCAGCUCCAA